This 495-nucleotide ribosomal RNA is filed under the name uncultured bacterium. RNAcentral's name for it is "partial 16S ribosomal RNA". It matches the Rfam family "Bacterial small subunit ribosomal RNA", at positions 28 to 507 of the family's 1533-position model. The record is from RNAcentral.
GACGAACGCUGGCGGCGUGCCUAAUACAUGCAAGUAGAACGCUGAAGGAGGAGCUUGCUUCUCCGGAUGAGUUGCGAACGGGUGAGUAACGCGUAGGUAACCUGCCUGGUAGCGGGGGAUAACUAUUGGAAACGAUAGCUAAUACCGCAUAAGAGUAGAUGUCGCAUGACAUUUGCUUAAAAGGUGCAACUGCACCACUACCAGAUGGACCUGCGUUGUAUUAGCUAGUUGGUGAGGGAACGGCUCACCAAGGCAACGAUACAUAGCCGACCUGAGAGGGUGAUCGGACAAACUGGGACUGAGACACCGCCCAGACUCCUACGGGAGGCAGCAGUAGGGAAUCUUCGGCAAUGGACGGAAGUCUGACCGAGCAACGCCGCGUGAGUGAAGAAGGUUUUCGGAUCGGAAAGCUCUGUUGUAAGAGAAGAACGAGUGUGAGAGUGGAAAGUUCACACUGUGACGGUAUCUUACCAGAAAGGGACGGCUAACUACGUG